AUUGAACGCUGGCGGCAGGCCUAACACAUGCAAGUCGAGCGGAUGAAGGGAGCUUGCUCCUGGAUUCAGCGGCGGACGGGUGAGUAAUGCCUAGGAAUCUGCCUGGUAGUGGGGGAUAACGUCCGGAAACGGGCGCUAAUACCGCAUACGUCCUGAGGGAGAAAGUGGGGGAUCUUCGGACCUCACGCUAUCAGAUGAGCCUAGGUCGGAUUAGCUAGUUGGUGGGGUAAAGGCCUACCAAGGCGACGAUCCGUAACUGGUCUGAGAGGAUGAUCAGUCACACUGGAACUGAGACACGGUCCAGACUCCUACGGGAGGCAGCAGUGGGGAAUAUUGGACAAUAGGCGAAAGCCUGAUCCAGCCAUGGCGAGUGUGUGAAGAAGGUCUUCGGAUUGUAAAGCACUUUAAGUUGGGAGGAAGGGCAGUAAGUUAAUACCUUGCUGUUUUGACGUUACCAACAGAAUAAGCACCGGCUAACCUCGUG
RNAcentral lists this ribosomal RNA (484 nucleotides) under uncultured bacterium. Its description in RNAcentral is "partial 16S ribosomal RNA". It matches the Rfam family "Bacterial small subunit ribosomal RNA", at positions 30 to 507 of the family's 1533-position model. The record is from RNAcentral.